This 634-nucleotide unclassified non-coding RNA is filed under the name Hevea brasiliensis (rubber tree). The record is from RNAcentral. Lineage: Eukaryota; Viridiplantae; Streptophyta; Magnoliopsida; Malpighiales; Euphorbiaceae.
AAGAUAACCAAAAAUGGAGAACAAGCCUUCUUCUUUCCUUAUCAUUUGCAGCUUCCUCUUGUUUCUGGUCCUCCACUCCGUCCCCCAAGUCCUUGCUGCAAGAAAAUUAUUGGAUAUUUUCCCAAAUGGCUAUUUUCCUCCUGGGACAGCCCAAGUGCCACCUCCAACCCCAGAAACUAAGGUGAACUAUAAUAGCGAGACAAAAAAUGGCAGUCAUGCUCAAGUUGUUUCUGUUAAUGGGAAAACUAGGUCUGAAAGUGGCACGGUUAAUGGUAAGAAUGGACACCCGGUAGUCCAAGCAAAUACUCAUAAGGGGUAUGAAGCUGGUACAAUUAAAGGCUUCGAUGGCAAACCAAUCAUUCAAGGCAAAAAUACUACCGAUUAUCAAACUGCAAUAAUUAAUGGCAGCGAUGGAAAGCCUAAGUUUGAAGUACACAGAUAUAAUAAUGGCACGGCAAUUAUUUCUGUUUUAGGCAGCGAUGGAAAGCCAAUCUACCAGAUAAAUUCUUUGCCUCCGCCAGGGGGCAUAGGGAACUCGUUCUUGCCGCCACCUGCUAAUUCUUACAAUCCAUUUCCCCCUCCACAGAUAUAAGGAAGAAGUACCUAUAUUGUAUAUGUGUGGUUGUUCUGCUGC